UACGUAGGGGGCAAGCGUUGUCCGGAUUUAUUGGGCGUAAAGAGCGUGUAGGCGGCCAUGUAGGUCCGUUGUGAAAACUCGGGGCUCAACCUCGAGACGCCGAUGGAAACCAUGUGGCUAGAGUCCGGAAGAGGAGAGUGGAAUUCCUGGUGUAGCGGUGAAAUGCGCAGAUAUCAGGAAGAACACCCGUGGCUAAGGCGGCUCUCUAGUACGGUACUGACGCUGAGACGCGAAAGCGUGGGGAGCGAACAGG
This 253-nucleotide ribosomal RNA is filed under the name uncultured bacterium. RNAcentral's name for it is "partial 16S ribosomal RNA". It matches the Rfam family "Bacterial small subunit ribosomal RNA", at positions 524 to 776 of the family's 1533-position model. The record is from RNAcentral.